This 427-nucleotide ribosomal RNA is filed under the name uncultured bacterium. Its description in RNAcentral is "partial 16S ribosomal RNA". It matches the Rfam family "Bacterial small subunit ribosomal RNA", at positions 355 to 774 of the family's 1533-position model. The record is from RNAcentral.
UGGGGAAUAUUGCACAAUGGGCGCAAGCCUGAUGCAGCCAUGCCGCGUGUAUGAAGAAGGCCUUCGGGUUGUAAAGUACUUUCAGCGGGGAGGAAGGCGAUGCGGUUAAUAACCGCGUCGAUUGACGUUACCCGCAGAAGAAGCACCGGCUAACUCCGUGCCAGCAGCCGCGGUAAUACGGAGGGUGCAAGCGUUAAUAGGAAUUACUGGGCGUAAAGCGCACGCAGGCGGUCUGUCAAGUCGGAUGUGAAAUCCCCGGGCUCAACCUGGGAACUGCAUCCGAAACUGGCAGGCUUGAGUCUCGUAGAGGGGGGUAGAAUUCCAGGUGUAGCGGUGAAAUGCGUAGAGAUCUGGAGGAAUACCGGUGGCGAAGGCGGCCCCCUGGACGAAGACUGACGCUCAGGUGCGAAAGCGUGGGGAGCAAACA